This is a long non-coding RNA of Oreochromis niloticus (Nile tilapia), 776 nucleotides long. RefSeq lists it as uncharacterized. The record is from RefSeq and is a predicted model, not a curated record. Lineage: Eukaryota; Metazoa; Chordata; Actinopteri; Cichliformes; Cichlidae. The transcript is spliced from 3 exons.
CGCCGCUGUGCUGCUCCUGCUCACGGGGAUGUUUUACGAGAAGGGCCCCUCCCACCUCUGAGGAUGAUUCAUAAGACCACCCACAUUUACUACAACAUGUUUCCAGUUUCCAGGAUUCAGGAAAGCUCUGCCACCCGGUGGACGCUCGUGGUUAUCGCAAGAAAAUAUAAACUAUAAACCAAGAGGAAUCCAGCCUUCCUUAGAGAUCUGGAAGAAUUUACAGUACAAAUAAAUACCGAGUACAUCCUGGACAGGUUGUCAGCUCGAUGCCGGGCUGCUACAGAGACAGACAACCACAGGAGAUUUUUAGAGUCACUAAUUAACCCCACUAACUGCACACAACAGAGAAAAUGCAAACUCCUUAAUGAAGGCCCCGGCCAAAAAUAAAUAAAUACAUUUACAAAAAAAUUUAAUUACAUAUAUAUUAUGCACAUUUGAUUUACUGUUCAACUUGAGCUUUAUUGGAUGAUUUCAGCUCAGAAGUAUUCACACAAGCUGAAGACAGGUGGUGUCAGUGGGUUUGACACAAGCUGCCAAUCCCCGAUCAUCUGUAACUCUGUAAUAUCAUCAUGGUGAAGGUGUUUGCUGCAUGAACCGAAUUAAGACGCUAAAACAUGAAUAUCAGAGUUCAUAUAGAUACUUUAUUCACGCAAUAUGGGAAAAAAUGUACAAACAGUGAGAUUGAUGUACAGAUGACAGAAACAUCUGGAUUAAUGGUCAGGUGAUGACUUGGGGCUGUUGUCAAUUAGCUCUUUGUUAAGGGUCGGCACUUGGAA